This 73-nucleotide transfer RNA is filed under the name Ailuropoda melanoleuca (giant panda). It matches the Rfam family "tRNA". From Rfam's summary of the family: Transfer RNA (tRNA) molecules are approximately 80 nucleotides in length. Their secondary structure includes four short double-helical elements and three loops (D, anti-codon, and T loops). Lineage: Eukaryota; Metazoa; Chordata; Mammalia; Carnivora; Ursidae. The record is from Rfam by way of RNAcentral.
GCCCGGCUGGCUCAGUUGGUAGAGCAUGUGACUCUUGAUCUCAGGGCCGUGAGUUUACGUUCCAUGUUGGGUG